AUUGAACGCUGGCGGCAGGCUUAACACAUGCAAGUCGAGCGAGCGGCGGACGGGUGAGUAAUGUCUGGGAAACUGCCUGAUGGAGGGGGAUAACUACUGGAAACGGUAGCUAAUACCGCAUACCAUCAGAUGUGCCCAGAUUGGUUUAGCUAGUAGGUGGGGUAAUGGCUCACCAAGGCGACGAUCCCUAGCUGGGCGCAGAGGAUGACCAGCCACACUGGAACGGAGACACGGUCCAGACUCCUACGGGAGGCAGCAGGGGGGAAUAUUGCACAAUGGGCUCAAGCCUGAUGCAGCCAUGCCGCGGGUGUGAAGAAGGCCUUCGGGUUGUAAAGCACUGUCAGCGAGGAGGCGUGACUCGAAGAAGAAGCACCGGCUAACUCCGUGCCAGCAGCCGCGGUAAUAG
Molecule: ribosomal RNA, 406 nt
Filed under: uncultured bacterium
Lineage: Bacteria
Description: partial 16S ribosomal RNA
Rfam family: Bacterial small subunit ribosomal RNA
Source: RNAcentral